GGAGAAGUAGUUAUAAUAUUGAAAAUUAAGGGUUUUCUUUAGGUGGUUCCCUUCUCUU
This 58-nucleotide transfer RNA is filed under the name Meretrix lamarckii (Korean hard clam). RNAcentral describes it as "tRNA-Leu". The record is from RNAcentral. Lineage: Eukaryota; Metazoa; Mollusca; Bivalvia; Venerida; Veneridae.